This is a non-coding RNA of Myotis lucifugus (little brown bat), 75 nucleotides long. Lineage: Eukaryota; Metazoa; Chordata; Mammalia; Chiroptera; Vespertilionidae. The record is from Rfam.
GGCAGUUCUUCGGUGGCACACCCUGGAAUAGGGUUCCCUCUUCUCUGGUUCCGAGUGUGUCACCCAAGAACCAUA